This 495-nucleotide ribosomal RNA is filed under the name uncultured bacterium. RNAcentral describes it as "partial 16S ribosomal RNA". It matches the Rfam family "Bacterial small subunit ribosomal RNA", at positions 28 to 507 of the family's 1533-position model. The record is from RNAcentral.
GACGAACGCUGGCGGCGUGCCUAAUACAUGCAAGUAGAACGCUGAAGGAGGAGCUUGCUUCUCUGGAUGAGUUGCGAACGGGUGAGUAACGCGUAGGUAACCUGCCUGGUAGCGGGGGAUAACUAUUGGAAACGAUAGCUAAUACCGCAUAAUAGUAGAUGUUGCAUGACAUUUGCUUAAAAGGUGCAAUUGCAUCACUACCAGAUGGACCUGCGUUGUAUUAGCUAGUUGGUGGGGUAACGGAUCACCAAGGCGACGAUACAUAGCCGACCGGAGAGGGUGAUCAGCCACACUGGGACUGAGACACGGCCCAGACGCCUACGGGAGGCAGCAGUAGGGAAUCUUCGGCAAUGGACGGAAGUCUGACCGAGCAACGCCGCGUGAGUGAAGAAGGUUUUCGGAUCGGAAAGCUCUGUUGUAAGAGAAGAACGAGUGUGAGAGUGGAAAGUUCACACUGUGACGGUAUCUUACCAGAAAGGGACGGCUAACUACGUG